AGUGAACGCUGGCGGCGUGCUUAACACAUGCAAGUCGAACGAGAACGGAUUAUAGCUUGCUAUAAUUGUCAGCUAAGUGGCGCACGGGUGAGUAAUGUAUAGGUAAUAUGCCUCUUACUAAGGGAUAACAAAUGGAAACGUUUGCUAAUACCUUAUACUCCUUAUUAACAGAAGUUAAUAAGGGAAAGAUUUAUUGGUAAGAGAUUAGCCUGUAUUGUAUCAGUUAGUUGGUGGGGUAAUGGCUUACCAAGACUAUGACACAUAACUGGUUUGAGAGGAUGAUCAGUCACACUGGAAAGGAGACACGGUCCAGACUCCUACGGGAGGCAGCAUUGGGGAAUAUUGCACAAUGGACGAAAGUCUGAUGAAGCAACGCCGCGUGGAGGAUGACACAUUUCGGUGCGUAAACUCCUUUUAUAUGAGAAGAUAAUGACGGUAUUAUAUGAAUAAGCACCGGCUAACUCCGUGCCAGCAGCCGCCGUAA
This 484-nucleotide ribosomal RNA is filed under the name uncultured bacterium. RNAcentral's name for it is "partial 16S ribosomal RNA". It matches the Rfam family "Bacterial small subunit ribosomal RNA", at positions 29 to 523 of the family's 1533-position model. The record is from RNAcentral.